UGUCUCAGUUCGGAUUGGAGUCUGCAACUCGACUCCAUGAAGCUGGAUUCGCUAGUAAUCGCGCAUCAGCCAUGGCGCGGUGAAUACGUUCCCGGGCCUUGUACACACCGCCCGUCAAGCCAUGGAAGCCGGGAGUGCCUGAAGUGUGCAACCGCAAGGAGCGCCCUAAGGUAAAACUGGUGACUGGGGCUAAGUCGUAACAAGGUACC
This 209-nucleotide ribosomal RNA is filed under the name uncultured bacterium. Its description in RNAcentral is "partial 16S ribosomal RNA". It matches the Rfam family "Bacterial small subunit ribosomal RNA", at positions 1284 to 1500 of the family's 1533-position model. The record is from RNAcentral.